This 293-nucleotide ribosomal RNA is filed under the name uncultured Acholeplasma sp. Its description in RNAcentral is "partial 16S ribosomal RNA". It matches the Rfam family "Bacterial small subunit ribosomal RNA", at positions 1091 to 1382 of the family's 1533-position model. Lineage: Bacteria; Bacillati; Mycoplasmatota; Mollicutes; Acholeplasmatales; Acholeplasmataceae. The record is from RNAcentral.
AACGAGCGCAACCCCACUUGCUAGUUACCAUCAUUAAGUUGGGGGACGUCUAGCGAGACUGCCAGUGAUAAACUGGAGGAAGGUGGGGGAUGACGUCAAAUCAUCAUGCCCCUUAUGACCUGGGCUACAAACGUGAUACAAUGGCCGGAACAAAGGGAUGCGAAGCAGUGAUGUGGAGCGAAACCCAUAAAAACAGUCUCAGUUCGGAUUGAAGUCUGCAACUCGACUUCAUGAAGUCGGAAUCGCUAGUAAUCGCGGAUCAGAACGCCGCGGUGAAUACGUUCUCGGGGUUU